CCGCACCCCCGCCCGCACCCCGACCACUCCUUCCUUCUCGCCUCCUUCCCUCCCUCGCUGCCCUGCGCCUCCCUUUCCCGAUUCUGCCUCCCAGCCUUCCUCCGUCUCGCGCGCUCCUUGCAGGUCCGCGUCCAUACCGUCCAGCCCCAGCCCAGCCCGCAGGUGGGGGACAGUCGCGGCCGCUGUCCAGGUCCGGUCUCCGACGCUCGAGGACAGAAGCAGCCACGGGCAGGAGCAGAACCAGCCCCCGGGGAGCCUCCUGGACCCUCCCACGCGGCAGGUUCCGCCGAACCCGGCUUAGGUGAGCUCCAACUGUAGCAUGGAUCCCUUAGGAGACGUACUAAUGGGGGGCAAAAGUUCUAUCAGGAGGUAAGAGGAGUUAUUACUUUGUCCAUUACCCGCCUGGGAUUUGUUCAUCGUCUGUCCGAAGUUUUUCAGUCUCGCCUGCGUUUUUAAGGCUUUUGCGUGUGUUAGCGACUACGAUGGCAAGUGGACAGUGUGUAAACUAACCUGCCCUCCUAUAGAUUUCCGACAGUCAGUCAGCAAAACAUCCUGACUAAUACACAGAAAGGAAUUCAGUCAUUGAAGCGAAGGUAGCGUGUUAACUCUGCCUUGACUCUGAGAAACGCCAUCUUCAACUCUAAGGGCAGCCAAGCUUUCCCAGGUGUGGGCGCCUUACCUUCCCCGAGUUUUUGGUGGGUGGAUUGUGUGCCUGUCUCAUAGUUUUUAAAGAGC
Molecule: long non-coding RNA, 735 nt
Filed under: Equus caballus (horse)
Lineage: Eukaryota; Metazoa; Chordata; Mammalia; Perissodactyla; Equidae
Description: lncRNA (ENSECAG00000059387.1)
Source: RNAcentral